AUGAAAUCUUCGGAUAGAUUCAUAAACCACUUAGCGGCGGAUGGGUGAGUAACGCGUGAGGAACCUGCCUAGUACAAGGGGAUAGCCUCGGGAAACCGGGAUUAAUACCCUAUGACACUUUUAAGUCACAUGACUUUUAAGUCAAAGCGUUUAGCGGUAUUAGAUGGUCUCGCGUCCCAUUAGCUAGUUGGUGAGAUAAAAGCUCACCAAGGCGACGAUGGGUAGCCGGCUUGAGAGAGUGAACGGCCACACUGGAACUGAGACACGGUCCAGACUCC
RNAcentral lists this ribosomal RNA (278 nucleotides) under uncultured bacterium. Its description in RNAcentral is "partial 16S ribosomal RNA". It matches the Rfam family "Bacterial small subunit ribosomal RNA", at positions 69 to 339 of the family's 1533-position model. The record is from RNAcentral.